RNAcentral lists this ribosomal RNA (463 nucleotides) under uncultured bacterium. RNAcentral's name for it is "partial 16S ribosomal RNA". It matches the Rfam family "Bacterial small subunit ribosomal RNA", at positions 28 to 507 of the family's 1533-position model. The record is from RNAcentral.
GACGAACGCUGGCGGCGGGCUUAACACAUGCAAGUCGAACGGUGAACCUCUUCUGGGGGGUGCAGUGGCGAACGGGUGAGUAACACGUGGGCAACCUUCUCCCGGCUAUGGGAUAACUCCAAGAAAUUGGGGCUAAUACUACAUGUUCACCGCUUCGCGCAUGGGUGGUGGUGGUAAGGGUUUCCGGCUGGGGGUGGGCCCGCGGCCUAUCUGCUUGUUGGUGGGGUAGUGGGCUACCAAGGCGACGAAGGGUAGCCGGCAUGGGAGGGUGACCGGCCUCCAUACGACUAAGGGACGGACCAGUGUCGAAUGGGGGGCAGCAGUGGGGAAUCUUGCGCAGUCGGGGGGAGCCUGAGGAGGCGACGCCGGGUGGGGGAAGACGGUCUUGGUGUUAUAAACCGCUUUCAGCAGGGACGUAGCGGAAGUGACGUUACCUGCAGAAGAAGCACCGGCCAACUACGUG